This 460-nucleotide ribosomal RNA is filed under the name uncultured bacterium. RNAcentral describes it as "partial 16S ribosomal RNA". It matches the Rfam family "Bacterial small subunit ribosomal RNA", at positions 338 to 795 of the family's 1533-position model. The record is from RNAcentral.
CCUACGGGAGGCAGCAGUGAGGAAUAUUGGUCAAUGGGCGUAAGCCUGAACCAGCCAAGUCGCGUGAGGGAUGAAGGUUCUAUGGAUCGUAAACCUCUUUUAUACGGGAAUAAAGUGUGGGACGUGUACUGUUUUGAAUGUAUCUUAUGAAUAAGGAUCGGCUAACUCCGUGCCAGCAGCCGCGGUAAUACGGAGGAUCCGAGCGUUAUCCGGAUUUAUUGGGUUUAAAGGGUGCGUAGGCGGUCGUAUAAGUUAGAGGGGAAAGCCUGUGGCUCAACUAUCGAAUUGCCGUUGAAACUGGGAGGCUUGAGUAUAGUUGAGGCAGGCGGAAUGCGUGGUGUAGCGGUGAAAUGCUUAGAUAUCACGCAGAACGCCGAUUGCGAAGGCAGCCUGCCAAGCCAUGACUGACGCUGAUGCACGAAAGCGUGGGGAUCAAACAGGAUUAGAUACCCGUGUAGUC